This 388-nucleotide ribosomal RNA is filed under the name uncultured bacterium. RNAcentral's name for it is "bacterial SSU rRNA". It matches the Rfam family "Bacterial small subunit ribosomal RNA", at positions 29 to 417 of the family's 1533-position model. The record is from RNAcentral.
AUUGAACGCUAGCGGAAUGCUUUACACAUGCAAGUCGAACGGCAGCACGGGGGCAACCCUGGUGGCGAGUGGCGAACGGGUGAGUAAUACAUCGGAACGUGCCCAGUCGGUGGGGGAUAACGUAGCGAAAGCUACGCUAAUACCGCAUACGAACUCUGGUUGAAAGCGGGGGACUCGCAAGAGCCUCGCGCGAUUGGAGCGGCCGAUGGCAGAUUAGGCAGUUGGUGGGGAAAGGCUCACCAAGCCGACGAUCUGUAGCUGGUCUGAGAGGACGACCAGCCACACUGGGACUGAGACACGGCCCAGACUCCUACGGGAGCAGCAGUGGGGAAUUUUGGACAAUGGACGCAAGUCUGAUCCAGCCAUUCCGCGUGCAGGAUGAAGGCCC